GGGGAAAUAGCUCAGUGGUGGAGCAUGUGCUUACUGGCGUGCACAAGGUCCUGGCUUCAAUCCCCAGCAUCUCCA
This 75-nucleotide transfer RNA is filed under the name Camelus bactrianus (Bactrian camel). It matches the Rfam family "tRNA". Rfam says of the family: Transfer RNA (tRNA) molecules are approximately 80 nucleotides in length. Their secondary structure includes four short double-helical elements and three loops (D, anti-codon, and T loops). The record is from Rfam by way of RNAcentral. RNAcentral also lists the same sequence under 2 other names. Lineage: Eukaryota; Metazoa; Chordata; Mammalia; Artiodactyla; Camelidae.